Molecule: non-coding RNA, 956 nt
Filed under: Petropedetes newtoni (Newton's water frog)
Lineage: Eukaryota; Metazoa; Chordata; Amphibia; Anura; Petropedetidae
Description: partial 16S ribosomal RNA
Rfam family: Bacterial small subunit ribosomal RNA
Source: RNAcentral
GUUUGGUCCUAGCUUUACUAUCCACUGUUUCUCAACUUACACAUGCAAGUCUCAGCACACCCGUGAGAAAGCCCUUUUCCCUCCACCAGUCUAAGGAGCCGGUAUCAGGCACAACCACUUUAGCCCAUAACACCUAGUCUCACCACACCCACAAGGGUACUCAGCAGUGAUAAACAUUGAGUAUAAGCGCCAGCUUGACUCAGUUAGAGAAAAGAGGGUCGGCCAAAUCGGUGCCAGCCGCCGCGGCUAUACCGUAGACCCAAAUUGAUAGUCCUCCGGCGUCUAACGUGAUUAGGGCAAUUCUACCUUAGAGCCAAAUAGACACUAGGUUGUGAUAAUCUUGUUGUUUAAAAGACCAAAAACGAAAGUUACUCUAACUUAUACCUGAACACACGACAACUAGGACUCAAACCGGGAUUAGAUACCCCGUUAUGCCUAGUCGUAAAAUAUUUACUUACACCCCCUCACGCCAGGGUAUUACGAGCUUCAGCUUAAAACCCAAAGGACUUGACGGUGUCCCACCCACCUAGAGGAGCCUGUUCUAUAAUCGAUACCCCCCGCUUUACCCCACCACUUUUAGCAUAUCAGCCUGUAUACCUCCGUCGUAAGUUUACCGUGUGAACGUCUGCAGUAAGCUAAAUGGCCUUUCACCAGCACGUCAGGUCAAGGUGCAGCCCAUGGAGUGGCAAGCAAUGGGCUACAAUUUCUAACUUAGAACAUACGGAUAAGCUGCAAUGAAACAGCUUAGAAGGAGGAUUUAGUAGUAAAAAGGAAGCAUGAGUGUCCUUUUUAACCCGGCACUGGGACGCGUACACACCGCCCGUCACCCUCUUCAUAGUACUAACCAAGUAAAUAACACUUAUUGACACCCUAGAAGAGGCAAGUCGUAACACGGUAAGUGUACUGGAAAGUGCACUUGGCUAAACAAAAUGUACUUUAAUUAAAGCCUCUCACUU